Chlorocebus sabaeus (green monkey) is the source of this 1485-nucleotide long non-coding RNA. RefSeq lists it as uncharacterized. The record is from RefSeq and is a predicted model, not a curated record. NCBI's taxonomy places the organism in Eukaryota, Metazoa, Chordata, Mammalia, Primates, Cercopithecidae.
CAUCCUUUGACAUCAGCACAGCUUUGAAAGGGGGAUGGGAGAGCGAGCAGAAAGCAGAAAAACCAGCUUUGAACUAUGCAUGCAAGGCCUCUUUCAAGCCUCAAAUUCUAGCUGACAAGACACUGCUGGAUUCCAUAGCUGGCCAGGAGAUGAUGUGAUUUCUGACACAUGUGGGCAGUGGGCACGCACCACCUGAGCAGCCUGCUGACCUCACACCUGCCCUGGCUUCACUGCUAUCUGAACAGCAGAAUUAAUUUUUUUUUUUUAAAGAGCACGUGCUUUCAGUUGGGUAACAGGAAUUUAGAUCUUAGCUGCCCUCCUGCCUCUGGGCCUUCACUGCUGACCUGUGGGUUGUCUGUCUGGAGGGGACGGCCACCGAUCACCAACGACCACUACGAAGCAGUGUUGAUGGCUCUCACUGCCACAUACCCCAGCCGCCUCCUCCUCCUCCGAGUGAUGCCAGAUGAACUCAGACACAAUUAGGAACGAGGUGUUCAGUGGCUCAGGAAGGAGCCCAGGAGCAGAUGCUUAUUGAAGAUCUGGGCUUUAAAGAGACAGAGACCUGCUCGCCAAUGAUUUAAUAUUUCGUAUGAGAUAAGAUGAAAAAAUGUGCCUAGCCUAUGACUGUGCUGAUGAGUGGGAAUACAGAAAUAAGGGGGAAAGGCUCCAAAGAGCUUUAUAUAUAAUAUACGGAAUAGCAGUCAAAGAAAUAGUGAAGACACUUUUUGAUGUAUUUUUCCUAAUGAUCUCAGAUCAAAGGAUCUCGCCUUUAUUAGUGAUUUACCCCAGGCUCUUUUGAAACCCUAUGCAUGUAAGUAGUUCUUUAAAGAACUCCAAGGCUGAUCUGGCCGUCACUGAUAAAACAGACUCUAAGAUAGAAAUAAAUAAACAAAUAAUAUGAGGGAAGAAAAGAAGACUUGAAUAAAGGUAAGGUAUACUUCUGAAUUGGAAAUAUAAAAAUAUAAAUACUGCAGCUAUGCUGAUAAUUUUCCCCCGAACUGAUCUACAGGUUUAAAGUAUUUCCAAUUAAAAUUCUGGUGGGCCUCUAUUUUUCCAGGUACUUAGCAAAAGUAUUCGAAAGUUCACCUGCAAAAAAUAAAAGAACAAGAAGAAUGAGAACACUACUAAUGAGAAAGGCUAGUCCUACCAACUAUAAAGCUAUAUGAAUUAAUGACAGUGUGAUGGGGCAAAAGAGGCAGAUUAAUGGAACACAAGCCACAGCCCCAAACUGAGAAAUAUGUUGACACAAAUGUAAUAUAAUAAAGAGUGUAUCUCAAAUCAGUGGAAGGGGAAGAAUUAGAUAAUUGCUUGGCAAUCUUGGGGCAGACAACUGAUUAACUAUAUGCAGAAAAAAGUCAAUUAAAGUGUUUUCACAUCACACCAAAAUAAAAUUUGAGAUGGCUUAAACAGUUAAAUAAAAAUCAAUCAAAACCACCACCCCCAAAUCCCUAUAACUUUUAGAAGAAAGGGAAAGUGAAUAAUCAA